UGGGGAAUAUUGCACAAUGGGCGCAAGCCUGAUGCAGCGACGCCGCGUGGGGGAUGACGGCCUUCGGGUUGUAAACUCCUUUCGCUAGGGACGAAGCUUUUUGUGACGGUACCUAGAUAAGAAGCACCGGCUAACUACGUGCCAGCAGCCGCGGUAAUACGUAGGGUGCGAGCGUUGUCCGGAAUUACUGGGCGUAAAGGGCUCGUAGGUGGUUUGUCGCGUCGUCUGUGAAAUUCCGGGGCUUAACUCCGGGCGUGCAGGCGAUACGGGCAUAACUUGAGUACUGUAGGUGUAACUGGAAUUCCUGGUGUAGCGGUGAAAUGCGCAGAUAUCAGGAGGAACACCGAUGGCGAAGGCAGGUUACUGGGCAGUUACUGACGCUGAGGAGCGAAAGCAUGGGUAGCGAACAGG
This 411-nucleotide ribosomal RNA is filed under the name Actinomycetes bacterium. RNAcentral describes it as "Actinobacteria bacterium partial 16S ribosomal RNA". It matches the Rfam family "Bacterial small subunit ribosomal RNA", at positions 355 to 776 of the family's 1533-position model. The record is from RNAcentral. Lineage: Bacteria; Bacillati; Actinomycetota; Actinomycetes.